This 422-nucleotide ribosomal RNA is filed under the name uncultured bacterium. Its description in RNAcentral is "bacterial SSU rRNA". It matches the Rfam family "Bacterial small subunit ribosomal RNA", at positions 355 to 774 of the family's 1533-position model. The record is from RNAcentral.
UGAGGAAUAUUGGGCAAUGCCCGCAAGGGUGACCCAGCAACGCCGCGUGGAGGAUGAAUGUCGUAAGAUUGUAAACUCCUGUUAGAGGGGAAGAAUAGUACCGGUUGGACCGGUAUAUGACUGUACCCUCAGAGAAAGCCCCGGCUAACUACGUACCAGCAGCCGCGGUAAUACGUAGGGGGCAAGCGUUGUCCGGAUUUACUGGGUGUAAAGGGCGCGCAGGCGGGAUAAAAAGUCAGUGGUGAAAUCCUACAGCUUAACUGUAGAACUGCCUUUGAUACUGGUGAUCUUGAAUAUCGUUGAGGUAAGCGGAAUAUGUCAUGUAGCGGUGAAAUGCUUAGAUAUGACAUAGAACACCGAUAGCGGAGGCAGCUUACUAAGCGAUCAUUGACGCUGAGGCACGAAAGCGUGGGGAGCAAACA